UGCGAAUGGGUUCAACCUAAAAGGAAAUUAACUCCAAAAGAGAGCAAACAAAUGAGACUUCUGUGUGUGAGGGCUGAAAAAUUCAGUAUGAACAGGAAAAAUAAAUCCAAGGCAACAAAAAUUAUUCUGUGUGUAUUUUGUGUUGCUUUGUCCAUCUAUUGAUUAGGAUAGGAAGACAUCUUAUCCUCCAUGUUAUAAUCUCUUUUCUUUCAUUCCUUCUUAAGAAAGCUUUUAAAAGAAAUUAAAAGAGAAGGUUACAAUUACUGUGCAACAUCUGAAACCAAAUAAAUAGAAGACUUACUUGUUCAAGUGUAUGCUGAGCAAGAUCAGUUGUUGAUAUCAUAACUCCAGCAGCAAAAGAUCCCAGUUCAAGGCUCAGACCC
RNAcentral lists this unclassified non-coding RNA (383 nucleotides) under Hevea brasiliensis (rubber tree). The record is from RNAcentral. Lineage: Eukaryota; Viridiplantae; Streptophyta; Magnoliopsida; Malpighiales; Euphorbiaceae.